ACGCUCGACACCUACGGGGGCAGCAGUAGGGAAUCUUCCNCAAUGGGCGCAAGCCUGAUGGAGCAACACCGCGUGAGUGAAGAAGGGUUUCGGCUCGUAAAGCUCUGUUGUUGGAGAAGAACGUGCGUGAGAGUAACUGUUCACGCAGUGACGGUAUCCAACCAGAAAGUCACGGCUAACUACGUACCAGCAGCCGCGGUAAUCUGAGCGGGCUGGCAAGGC
This 222-nucleotide ribosomal RNA is filed under the name uncultured bacterium. Its description in RNAcentral is "partial 16S ribosomal RNA". It matches the Rfam family "Bacterial small subunit ribosomal RNA", at positions 328 to 539 of the family's 1533-position model. The record is from RNAcentral.